UCCAGCUUCUCGGCGCUGCCACGGAGGCUGCCGAGCUUCUGGCCUCCCUCCGGAGCGAAAUCCCAAUUGGAGGCACGUGCAGAGGACCGAGGCCCGCAAGGUGCACCCCGCCAGCUCCGGCGCCCGGCGCUCGUGCGGCGGUGUGCUUCAGCACCCAGGUGUGCCUUAGCUCCCACAGGCGCCCGGGCAGCACCCGGCCAUUCACCAGGCCUCUACCUGGCCAGGGCCUCCUGCGAACGAGGCUACGAAGUCAGGGACUCCUGGACGACAGACAACACCGGCACCAGGAAAAAGCCCAGGAGCGACGCCGAGUGGCACAGCCAAAGUUUGGUAUUUGAAUUGCUUCCAGCUUGAAGACUCUUAUGAACAAAGGUACUGUGAUCAUUUUUGAUGUGAACUGCUGUUAUUCUGGUGAUGCUGGUGGUUUGCAGGUGCAGAUGCUGGGCUCUGGCAUGUAAAAGCCUAGAUCAAAGUCACCUUGCCCAAGCCCUCAAGAGUUCCCCGACCCCAGAGCUGCCCCUCACAUUCUCCUUCAGGUACCACAGAGAAGCCAUGCAGUAUCUCUGUUUAAGCAGAAUCUCAGGGUGGAAGAUCUGAAAAUGGACUAAAGUUGGAGGACUCUUGACACCAGGAUAAGAAGUGGGCACUACUUUGAAGCCAUGCUGGACUGGGCUCUGUGACCAGCCCCUCACUCAGUUCACUGUCCUCUGGCCUGUGGAGGCCUCUGGUCAGGCUCAGACACACUCAGACCUCCUGGGUCUGCAUUCCUGCUGUGCCCCAUCCUUGCUGGGGGCACAUUCUCCCCCUGUGAGUCCAACCACCUGCACCUCUUCCCAGCGUCCUUAUGCACCAGCAGAAUCCUAAGAGUGCUUCCUAGUCUUAGUGCUCUGUGGGCCCCAGCCCUGGGCCAGCUUCCUGGCCACCCCAUUGAUGCUGCUAAUGGGACAGUGUGAAAUCCAGGAGAUCUGAGCCCAAACCCCUGAGGCCCUGGGGACAAAGCAGCACCAGAGUUGCAAAGCCUUGGGUCCAUGACAAAAUACAGGGUAUGAUAUGGGUUGGAAAGAAGAGUGUUCUAGGGGAGAGUGAGGUCCCCUUGCCCUGCAUGUCUCAUCUGCUCCCCCCAGUGUGUGCUGGGUGGGCCCCUUCUUACCCUUGCAGAGACCUCGGGGGAUGCUGACAUGGCAGGGCUGUGGCAGGUUCAGCCAGGGACCUAGAGUGUUGGGAGGGCUGGUCUGGUCUGGGGGCUGGGUCCUGGGGCAGCUGAUCCCUUCCUCUGGCAAAGCUUCUCUUUCCCUCUAUCAUUCCCUCAGCACAGCCUGGGCUUUUUCAGCUUCCCAGCUUGGAGGCUGCAGCAUCCCCAGCCCCAGCUGCACAUUCUGCUCAUUGGGCUCCUCCUCCUCCUGGCCAGCUGCCCAGUCACACUCUCCGGCCACACCUCACUCCCCCACUCCCUGCCUCUCUCCUGAGACCAGCACAAGAACCAUUUGCUCAUAAAGGGUUGCGAGUACCAAACCCACAGGCUGGGACAUGCUCCAGAGGACCCAGCACAGGGCUACAACCAGAUUCCAGCACGUAGGAUUCUCACUCAGGAUCGGAGACCCCAGGACCCUUCCUGAGAGGCUGUGGGAAUUGGGGCUGGGAGCCGCUCGAGGGAUGUUGGGGGCUAUGCAUUAUACGCUUCUGGCUCUUACAGAAUCUGCUCUGGGGCUUUUGUUGCAAAGGAUAGGUCAGCCUAGAAUUCUCUGAUGGUCUUUGUCCAGAUUCCUCAGAAAACCACUCUCACCUUCUUCUGCUCUGGGCAGUGCUGAUUCAGAGACAAGAGUGAGAAUGAGUCGACCAGUUUGCCCUUGACUGGCAGAGCAGCGACAAAAACAGUGAUCCCAGGGAGACUGUGGGGCUCCAGCUGCUCUCUGGUGCCACGGAGCCCAGCCGGUCUCCAAGGACAGCAGCAGGGGCAUCCCCUGGCACUUCCUCUGUCCCCCUUCCCUGAGAGGAGGGCACACCUGCUAUACCUGUCUCUACCCCGCAGCGACUUGCUCAGGAAAGCCUCAGGGACAGGGCUGUGGGGAGGGAGGUAUGGCCAAGGGAGUGGAGUCUUGGUCACAGAGGACCAGAGGCUGAGGCAUCACAUCUCAAACCAUCAUUUGAGUGUGUUCCUUGUAACCCAGGCAAUCAACACGUUCUGGGGAAAAAGUGUUUCAAAAGCAAAACCAAGUUUGGGUAACACUGCUCCAACCUCUUUGGGGGAAGGAUAGGUCGCAGUGCAAGUUGACAUAGUAAAGGCUCUGAGAAGGUAUGU
Molecule: long non-coding RNA, 2299 nt
Organism: Nyctereutes procyonoides (raccoon dog)
Lineage: Eukaryota; Metazoa; Chordata; Mammalia; Carnivora; Canidae
Exons: 5
Source: RefSeq, a predicted model, not a curated record